Drosophila gunungcola (fruit fly) is the source of this 616-nucleotide long non-coding RNA. RefSeq lists it as uncharacterized. The transcript is spliced from 4 exons. Lineage: Eukaryota; Metazoa; Arthropoda; Insecta; Diptera; Drosophilidae. The record is from RefSeq and is a predicted model, not a curated record.
UAUUAAUUCAAUUCAAGACAAUGCCCGGACUUCGAUUACGAUUACUAAAACAAAUAAAAUUGUUUUGGAAGAUCCAAAGCAACUGUCAUUUAGCAACGGAAAAGAUACAAGCCGACCAAAUUUUAUUAGAUAUAAUUUUUUGUAAUCCAACUUUAAGUAGAAUAUUAAUUCAAAACAAGGCCUUGAAUUCGAUUUCUACUACUAAAACAAAUACAUUUUUUAGAUCCAAACCAACUGUCUAUUAGAAACGGAAAAGAUACAAGCCCUCAGAAGGAGCCAGGCUAAAUAUCGGACUAUAAAUAUAUCUAUUUUUAGUUUUUCAACUUGAUUUGCUAUAAGCCGAAGUCAACAUUUUUGUAAGCAGUUAUUCGGAAACGAUGGGCCCGUUUUUAUAAUUUGUAAACGGUCUUUAGAGGGAACGUAUUUGACAAAUUUAUGGAGAAAUCUUCAAGAGUGAUUUGUUGAUAUCUACACUUCUGAACUGAACCAGCACAGCAGUAAACCGACUGAGAAGAAAAAUGCCAUCAUCAAAAAUCGGCUUAAAAAUAAGAUGCUUUCCCUCAAAAUCGACUUCGAUUGGGUAUUUAAAACAUUUUGACAGAGUUUUCUAAUGAUA